RNAcentral lists this transfer RNA (94 nucleotides) under Acidobacteriota bacterium. RNAcentral describes it as "Acidobacteria bacterium tRNA-Tyr". It matches the Rfam family "tRNA". Rfam says of the family: Transfer RNA (tRNA) molecules are approximately 80 nucleotides in length. The record is from RNAcentral. Lineage: Bacteria; Pseudomonadati; Acidobacteriota.
GCACGGGUGGCAGAGUCCGGUUGAAUGCGCCAGCCUGUAGAGCUGGAGUUCUCUUGUAGAGCCGACGGAGGUUCAAAUCCUUCCCCGUGCAUCA